GCAGCAGCCGCGGUAUACGUAGGUGGCAAGCGUUAUCCGGAAUUAUUGGGCGUAAAGCGCGCGUAGGCGGUUUUUUAAGUCUGAUGUGAAAGCCCACGGCUCAACCGUGGAGGGUCAUUGGAAACUGGAAAACUUGAGUGCAGAAGAGGAAAGUGGAAUUCCAUGUGUAGCGGUGAAAUGCGCAGAGAUAUGGAGGAACACCAGUGGCGAAGGCGACUUUCUGGUCUGUAACUGACGCUGAUGUGCGAAAGCGUGGGGAUCAAACAGGAUUAGAUACCCUGGUAGUCAAGGGCG
RNAcentral lists this ribosomal RNA (294 nucleotides) under uncultured Staphylococcus sp. Its description in RNAcentral is "partial 16S ribosomal RNA". It matches the Rfam family "Bacterial small subunit ribosomal RNA", at positions 508 to 802 of the family's 1533-position model. The record is from RNAcentral. Lineage: Bacteria; Bacillati; Bacillota; Bacilli; Caryophanales; Staphylococcaceae.